UUUUUUUUUUUUUUGCCUCUGUGCCUCAGUUUGUUUAAUUUCCAUUGACCCAUCUUCAAGUUCACCAAUUUUUUCCUUAGCUGUGUUGAGUCUGUGAAGAGUCAGCCACUGGUUUUAGCAGCAAGAACCAGCUCCAUACAUGGAAUAAAGUUGUAGCUGGAGGAACUGGUCAUGAGAAGGAACUUCCUAUGGUGGAGGAUGUGAUGUCCUAGAAGAGAAGACUGAGGGAAUCUGUGCUCCAAGUCUGCUACGAGGAGUAUUUUGGGGAGCAGGGAGAGAGGUGAAGUGGUUCCUGUUUUUUCUAGCCCAAGCGUUUCCUUUACUGUGGUUCAGAAGUGAAGGGAGGGGUUUUCUGCAGUUACUCCUAACGUGCCAAAGCAGGACCCACCUGGAAACUGGGCAAAACCUUGAACCCAGUAAAAGAGAAAUGGGAAAUGAAAAAUGUUAGAAAGAAGGAGUCAAGGUUAGAAAAUUUCUAGCCUAAAAAAAAGAGUCUUUGUGCCCAGAUAUGGCGGUAAGGGCUGGAUCUGCUGGCUCAAUGCCUCUAAGCACAGCUUUGUAGUGAUUAUGGUACUGGUUUAGGGAGCCUUGCAAAGUGUCAAGAGGUUAGGUAGGUCCUGGAGGUGAUUAUCUAUAUUUUAAAGACCGUAAAUACCUGCUCCUUUUUGAGUACCCAGAGCUAACACUCUGUGUAGUAACUCCAGUGACUGUAAUGUUAAACAGGGCUCAGUCCCUGUUUUAUGUAGUUUUUAGUCAAGAAAUAUUUGGGAUGCUUCCCCUGGAUUUUUGUAUUAUGCCCCCGCUUUUUUCCUAUUAUUCAUAUUUUAGCUUAAAUAUUAACUAUGGUGACAGGCAUUUCCUAAAAGUCGAGCCUACAGUACUUCUUCAUUUCACACAGUCCUAUUGCAAUCAUGAAGACUUCGUAUUUUUCUGUUUCUCUAGUGCUGAUUGACUGUCUCCUCCUUCUCGAAUGUGAGUCCCAUGGGGAACUGGAGCAGACUCUUCCUAGCUGUGUUCCCUCUGCUUGGCAAAUAAUAGGUAUUCAAUAAAGUUCAUUUGGUGAAUGAAGAAAAGGAAAAUUAUCUGACUACAGUUUUGUUGUGAUAGAAUGAGCUAACAUUCGAUCUAAAGAGAACUCCAGAACUCUUUUUAACAUUUUGCUGUGUUUUUGUUCAAUUUCUUGUUUAAACAUCUAACAAGUAUGGUGCAAAAGCAAAAGACAGAAAGUAGUCUCAGCCCACAAGCUUUUAAAACAGCAUGUCUGUAAUUCUUUUUGUUUUACAGUGCUGAAUACAGCAGAGCUUAAUGGAUGCUUUUCUGAGUGAUUGAUUAAUUAAGGUUUAAGCUCAGGGAGGCUCUAACCCAGUGGACCAUUCCUUUGUGAGCAGUUGUUUCUCUCUCUACUGCAGUGCUGUGUGGUGAAUGAGUGUAGAGUUCCUGGAAACUUUAAAGGACAAAGAACAUGAAUUCACAAAAUAAUAUCUACAUGGAAAUAUAUUUAUCUGAUUGAAAAAGCUACAAUUUUAUGUUUAAGUGC
RNAcentral lists this long non-coding RNA (1537 nucleotides) under Macaca fascicularis (crab-eating macaque). RNAcentral describes it as "lncRNA (ENSMFAG00000051067.1)". The record is from RNAcentral. Lineage: Eukaryota; Metazoa; Chordata; Mammalia; Primates; Cercopithecidae.